GACGAACGCUGGCGGCGUGCCUAAUACAUGCAAGUCGAACGGAAAGGCCCUGCUCUUGUGGGUUGCUCGAUUGGCGAACGGGUGAGUAACACGUGAGUAACCUGCCCUUGACUUUGGGAUAACAUCAGGAAACUGGGGCUCAUAUAGGAUAGGAUCUCCUGCUGCACGUUGGUGGUUGGAAAGUUUCGGCGGUUGUGGAUCGACUCGCUGCUUAUCCGCUUGAUGGUGGGGUAGUUGCUUACCAAGGCUUUGACGGGUAGCCGGCCUGAGAGGGUGACCGGCCACAUUGCGCCUGAGGUACGGACCAGACUCCUACGGGAGGCAGCAGUGGGGAGUAUGGCGCAGUGGGCGGAAGCCUGAUGCAGCAGCGCCGCGUGCGGGAUAACGGCCUACGGGUUGUAAACCGCUUUCGCCUGUGACGAAGCGGGAGUGACGGUAAUGGGUAAAGAAGCACCGGCUAACUACGUG
RNAcentral lists this ribosomal RNA (468 nucleotides) under uncultured bacterium. RNAcentral's name for it is "partial 16S ribosomal RNA". It matches the Rfam family "Bacterial small subunit ribosomal RNA", at positions 28 to 507 of the family's 1533-position model. The record is from RNAcentral.